RNAcentral lists this transfer RNA (86 nucleotides) under bacterium. RNAcentral's name for it is "tRNA-Leu". It matches the Rfam family "tRNA". From Rfam's summary of the family: Transfer RNA (tRNA) molecules are approximately 80 nucleotides in length. Their secondary structure includes four short double-helical elements and three loops (D, anti-codon, and T loops). The record is from RNAcentral.
GGGCAGGUGAUGGAACCGGUAUACAUGCAAAACUUAAAAUUUUGUGCCCAAAAGGCAUGCGGGUUCGAACCCCGCCCUGCCCACCA